GAGGGUCUAGCUCAGUAGAGCACGUGCUUAGCAUGCACGAGGUCCUGGGUUCAAUCCCCAGUACCUCCA
RNAcentral lists this transfer RNA (69 nucleotides) under Camelus bactrianus (Bactrian camel). It matches the Rfam family "tRNA". Rfam says of the family: Transfer RNA (tRNA) molecules are approximately 80 nucleotides in length. Lineage: Eukaryota; Metazoa; Chordata; Mammalia; Artiodactyla; Camelidae. The record is from Rfam by way of RNAcentral. RNAcentral also lists the same sequence under 2 other names.